CGUGGGGAGGUGGCGGUGGGACCGGGACCGGCCUCUCCCGGCGGGGCCAGCGAGAAGCCCUGCGUCCCUCGGGCGCAGAAAACCGGUGCUGGUGGAUGCGGCUCCACAGCUGCGCCUUCCCCCGCCAUGUUUUGGCGAGGCUCCUUCAGGGCCAGUGCCGCUUCCCGCCGGCCCCGGCGCUGAGCGGCUGCGGCGGGAGCAGCCGAGCGAGUCUGGCAGUGGACCAAAAAAAAUGAAGUGACCAGGAUGGUGUGACUUCAGAAAUGAAGAGUGAUCCUUCAGGAAAAGGCUGCCCAAGCAAGCUUCAGCCACCUUGCUAACUAGAAGCCCUGAGCCGAGGCAGACCAGAGGAGCCCAGCCCAGGUGAGCUGCCCUGCUGGGAGCUGCCAGUCCUGCCCAGGUGAGCUGUAGUGCCAGGAGGUGCCAGCCCUGCCCCAGCUCGUGUUGCAGGCGUGGCUGCAGUGCCACGUCUGUGUCAUUCGGUGGCAGACAGCAACAGGCGAGGUCUUCCCUGGUGCUCGGAGCCCUGUGAGCUCUCAGGAUUGCUCAACAACCUGACACUUGCUGUUCCUUUCCUGCUCCCCUGCCUUUCAUGGGGAAUGGUGGAGGAUGGACACUGUCCUUCAGUCCGUCCCUGUAUCCAAAUGGUGCUGUGUGUCACUGUCCCUUCUCAAAGGACACCAAGAGCAGCUCUGGGCACACAGAGAUUGUGACCCUGAGUUUUGCAGUGAGUGACUCUGGCACUGCUAAAUGGGAAACCUCAUUAAAUGGCCAUUACAGGGCCAGAGGGACCUCAGUGGUGCAAAAUGAGCCCUUUAAUUGGCAAAAGUCACUGGCUUUGGAGAAGAAUGUUAAUGAGGUUGUGGGGAUGUGGUUAUGCUUGAGGAUGUGGCUCUUUUAUUUAAAUUUCUUGACUUCUUUUAACCUGCAAUCCGUGUUUGGGGUUUUUCAUCAGGCUUUCCUCACUCCAGGGGUCCUGCGUGGGCACUGAGUGCUAAUGAGUGUCUCUUUAGAGCUCCCUGUGUGAGGCACAGCAGAACCAUGAACAUUUUCCUGAUGGCAUUUACUGGAAUUGCCCUUCCCCAGGCAGCACUCCUGGGCCAUGGAUAUUGCUUUAUUGAAGGAAAAACUGGCUCUGAGCUGUGGAAAACGUGAAUGUUUUACAUGAAAGUGGUUUAGAGAGGAAUUAAAAAUCUCUCAGCACAUAGCACAGCCCUUCAUCAUCAAGGACUGGUUUAUGUCAUGGCUUUAAAGGCUGGAAUAAGCUCAGAUUUUUUUUCCCUGCACUAUUAAUAGCUUGGCUCUGCACCAAGGUUGGCAAACUCACCUUGGAUUUUUAGGGAGUGAUGGAAUAACCCGGAGCAGGCUCCAGCUAUCCUGCUCUUAAAUUAUAGAUAUUUUUCCAAAACCCUUCUGAUGUCAUGCCAAAGAGCUUCUCCUAAAUUUGUGCCAUGUCCUUCUGGACUGAAGGAAAUCCCUGUCUCAAAGUUUCCUUGUGAACCCUAAUAACAGAGCCUUAAAAUAUGUUUUCAUUUUAUAUUUUAUCUUUAUUUCCUUCUGGGAUGUGGAAACUCUUGGGACAGACCCCAGACAAUGAGGGCAGCAGAGUUUGUAUGGCGAGGGUUAAUUAGCUCAUUAGUAUUGACUUUAUUGCUCCCUUUUCUUGCCUGUUUUUCAACUUUUCUGACAUACUGGGCCUUAUU
Camarhynchus parvulus is the source of this 1703-nucleotide long non-coding RNA. RefSeq lists it as uncharacterized. The record is from RefSeq and is a predicted model, not a curated record. NCBI's taxonomy places the organism in Eukaryota, Metazoa, Chordata, Aves, Passeriformes, Thraupidae. The transcript is spliced from 4 exons.